AGAGUUUGAUCCUGGCUCAGGACGAACGCUGGCGGCGUGCCUAAUACAUGCAAGUCGAGCGGACUUGAUGAGAAGCUUGCUUCUCUGAUGGUUAGCGGCGGACGGGUGAGUAACACGUAGGCAACCUGCCUGUAAGACUGGGAUAACUACCGGAAACGGUAGCUAAUACCGGAUAGUUGGUUUUCUCGCAUGAGAGAAUCAUGAAAGACGGAGCAAUCUGUCACUUACGGAUGGGCCUGCGGCGCAUUAGCUAGUUGGUGAGGUAAUGGCUCACCAAGGCGACGAUGCGUAGCCGACCUGAGAGGGUGAACGGCCACACUGGGACUGAGACACGGCCCAGACUCCUACGGGAGGCAGCAGUAGGGAAUCUUCCGCAAUGGACGAAAGUCUGACGGAGCAACGCCGCGUGAGUGAUGAAGGUUUUCGGAUCGUAAAGCUCUGUUGCCAGGGAAGAAUGUCUUAGAGAGUAACUGCUCUAAGAGUGACGGUACCUGAGAAGAAAGCCCCGGCUAACUACGUGCCAGCAGCCGCGGUAAUACGUAGGGGGCAAGCGUUGUCCGGAAUUAUUGGGCGUAAAGCGCGCGCAGGCGGCUAUGUAAGUCUGGUGUAUAACCUCGGGGCUCAACCCCCGGGUCGCACUGGAAACUGUGUAGCUUGAGUACAGAAGAGGAGAGUGGAAUUCCACGUGUAGCGGUGAAAUGCGUAGAUAUGUGGAGGAACACCAGUGGCGAAGGCGACUCUCUGGGCUGUAACUGACGCUGAGGCGCGAAAGCGUGGGGAGCAAACAGGAUUAGAUACCC
Molecule: ribosomal RNA, 800 nt
Filed under: uncultured bacterium
Lineage: Bacteria
Description: bacterial SSU rRNA
Rfam family: Bacterial small subunit ribosomal RNA
Source: RNAcentral